AAAAUCUUCAAAACCUAAACAUCUUACUCCAAUUUUCUCCCUCUGCCGCACCACCUCUAUUACUUGUUCCUUUUUGUCUUCGACCAUCGAUGCAUUUUAAUGGACAAGAGUUAGAGAAGAGGAAAAAUGACUUUGCAGACAUUCGUUUAGCCUUUUUGUUUAUGGUAAAACCUACUUCAUCCUUUCCCUGAAUGCAAGAAGAUCAUCGGGCGGGUUGCAGCAUCACAAAUCCCAGACAAAUGCUUUUUUUUUUUUUUUUUGAUAUGAGAAACUUUAGAAUUUUACAGAUUAUGGUUGAAAUGUAUAACAUAUUGUGCAUAGUUUGUAAUAUUUGUUCCUAUCCAGCCUAUCUAGUUUUAUUCUACAAUCUCAUAUAGGUAUGAUUUGGAAGUAUUUUGUAUUAUGAAUGUUAUGAACUUUAGUUAUAUAUUUGUGUAUUUUUUUUGUAUGAAUUAAGUCAUACCUUAAGCUUAUUAUGUUGUUAAUG
This is a long non-coding RNA of Lycium barbarum (goji berry), 487 nucleotides long. RefSeq lists it as uncharacterized. Lineage: Eukaryota; Viridiplantae; Streptophyta; Magnoliopsida; Solanales; Solanaceae. The record is from RefSeq and is a predicted model, not a curated record. The transcript is spliced from 3 exons.